ACGGACAAAAUAAAUCUCUUCAAUCCACGCUCUAUAGUUUCAUCAGCAACAAGUUCAUUUGAGAGAGAGAGAGAGAGAGAGAGGAUGAAGCGUCAUUAUCCCUCCUCCGUAACCAUCGUCGUCUUCCCCAUCCUUCUCCAUCUCAUUUUCACACUUCCAGCAGCCCAGCGCACGUUAGCGCAGGAGCCUCUAUGCCUGACCAAGUGCGGCCCAUUAGACAUCAAGUACCCCCUAGGUACCGGCCACGGCUGCGGGUCCCCGCGCUUCCACCCCUACAUAACCUGCGCCUCCUCCUACGAUGGCGGUCGGCUACUCCUCACCACUCACACCGGCUCUUACCCCAUAACUUCCAUAUCCUACGCCACCUCCACCCUAAUCAUCACCCCACCCUCCAUGUCCAACUGCACCGCCAUGCUCCCCUCCACCUCCAACUUGGGCCUGGACUGGGCCGGCCCAUUCCAACUCGGCCCAUCAACUUUCAUCCUCCUAUCCUGCCCGCCGCCCACUUCCGCCCUCGCCGUCAAAGGCGCCGCCAUCUGCGACCCCUCCACCCUUUACCUCUGCGCCUCCAUCUACACCUGCCCGGCAGUGGUGGGGCUUGGGCUGCCGCUGUUUCCGCCCACCAACACGUGCUGCGUCUACGCGCCGGCGAAUCUCAACCCCAAGGGGGAAUUGGACCUCGCCGGGCUGAAGUGCGCCGGGUACGCGUCGGUGGUGGAUCUUGGGGACGUGCCGACGGACCCGGAGCGGUGGAAGUACGGCGUGGAGUUGAAGUACACCGAAGGGGGCAAGGAUGGGUACAAUAUUUCGCCCAAUUGUCUUGGCUGCGAGAUGAGUAAUGGCGUUUGUGGGUAUGCCCCUCCCAGCAAUUCGUUUCUGUGUGUUUGCAGAGGCUAUAAUACGUCUACGGAUUGCUAUAACAACAACCCCGAUGAAGGCAUGUUCUUGAGCUUCAGUCCCAGAUCAAUUUAUGAGGAAAAAUGACUUGCGCCCUUGAGCGGCCUGUGUUGAUGAUUUUCGUUGGCAGUGGCUUGAGGAGAAAGAGAGGAGCAGAUUUCUGCACCAUUAUCAGCAGCUGAACUCAGACAUUGGGGCAUUCAAGAAUAGCAGUCAGUAACACAGAAAUACUCCAUGGAAAGAGUCAUCGGCCUGGAAGCCAAUCUUGGCAUCUAGCAGUAAGAUUGAGAAUAAAGAUCAUCCUAGCAAGAAACACGUUUAAGAUUUGAAGAUAGUUACUUGUAGGGACUUAUUUUUAUGUAUUCAUUUCAAAAGUGUACUAAUGGUGGUUCCCCUCGUCAUUAAGGAUGCCCUCAAUUUCUUAAAUCUCUUUUAUAGUUGAUAAGUGUAGAAUUCCAGCUGUGCAUCAAUAUCCUUUAUGCUUUCUAUCUGCUAGUGCCGUGAAUGAAGAAUGGGCUGCUCACGGCUGCUUAGGCUUAUCAUCUUAUUCGGAAGAAGAGUUUAUCGCCUUUAAAGAUAUCUUAUUUAUCUAUUCAUGUAUUAUGUUUAUCUUAUGAAUUAAUUGAGUGUAUAAUCUAGUCCUAAAAAUUAGGAGUCCUCAUCCUAAUAUCAAGAAGCUAAAGUCUAGGAGAUUUUUUAGGAAUUCUUAGCCAAAGUUCAUGUAUAUAUUGUAAUCUGUUCUCUCGGAUUUAAGUAAGAAAAGAGAAGGAACAAGAAGUUCCAGUUUCUUCAAUAAGUCUAGCACAAUCGGAUAAAAAAUUGACUAAAAAGAAAACUAUACAGGCUGGAGCAAUCAUAGUUUGGCCAAAGAACUUCCUUUGCAGAAAGAUCAACUGGAUUGAACCUUUACCCUCUAUCCUCUGCCCUUUGGCUUACACCAGUUUGAAUCAACCCAAAUAUUCCAUAAUACAACUCAUUAAUAACAUUAAACUGUCCCAUCAACAACCAGCCCUAGGAAUCAACAAAAGAAAAUUUAACAUAAGCAACAAUAGUACAAGCGGUAGAGGUUCAGUAGCCUACUACAUGACGCUCCAAACAACCAAGUUGCAAUAGACAAGCUACCAAACCUCCAAUUUCCAACCAAUAACAUCCGAAAGAGAGAAAGGUAAUAACAAGAAGCGAUUGAAGGGCUUCACACAAUGGUUGACUGAUGACACUAAAUAUACUAUGCGUGUUCAAGAACAAGAUUCUUGUUGAGGUGUGAUACCCAACAAGUCCAAGGUGAUGAUGUGUUUGGUCGGGUAAGUUAUCUAUCAUAGGUCUCGGUCCAGGAUUGAUAGUUUUUUGAGAGGUCCAAUCCCACAAAGAGAUGGCCCAACAAGAAGAUAGCCCAAGCACAUUUACCUUGUGUUUGAGGAAAGCUGGGCUUGGCCCAGCUGCUCAAACCAAGGACCAAGCCCAUUUGUCUAAAGCCCACAAUGCCUUAUCUCAAAGCCCACAUAUAUAUACCUUAGUUUGACCUAGCUUCUCCAUUUUUGUUCUCUGGCCGAUUCCAACGCAGAUUUGUUUCUUCUUUAGCCGUUUCCAACGCAAGUAUGGUUCUCUUCCCUUAUCUUAUCUCAACCUAUCUGAUAACCCAAUGGUUAUCCUCAUCCUUGGAGAUAUCUAUCUGGUUCUUGGGAGGUUAUUUUGAUCCAUAUAUUGGGGAAAUAGGGGGUGCCGAAUGAGGGUGAAUGCGAGAAGAGAGAGAGAGAGAACCGAGAGUGAGAAAGAGUGUUCUCCUUGAUGGGGUUUACUUCGUCCUUGUGUGGGUGUGCUAUUCUCGGUUGUGGGUUUUGUGAUUGAGGCUGUUUUGGGCGUCGAUUGAAUGCGGUUCUUGGGCUGUGCUUGGAACUGAUUCUAGGGUACCUUUUGUGGGUGUCGGACCGAUCAACGUUGGACCUUGCAAAUCCACCUUCUUCUUCUUCUCCAUUGCCGAGCAUCAACAGGGAGUGUGCUGUUUCUUUUGUUUCAGUUUGCUGUUCUUAUUUUUCAGCUUCUGUUCUUUGGGUUUUUACUUACUGUUUUUGCUAUUUUUUCACCCUAAAGAUUAGAUCUUGUGGUUGUUUUGCGAGGUAUUAUCUCUACAGUUCUCCAAGCAAAGGUCCUGAGAAUUACCCAUCAAACAUUACAACUACGAAAUACUUUACAUUAUGUUGUGGACUUAACCUUGUCCUUGCAUUUGGAAGCAAGGAUGACUGUGUCUGUCACUGAAGAAUACGAAUCCUAGAACUAAUUAGCAAAACCCUCUCCAUGCUUCAGGAGUAAGGUCUACUACAGGCAGUUCACAAUUUUCAUAGUCAAUUUCCCAAAUCAUCCUUGACCAUGCCCUCUGAAUGCAGCAAAUUUCCCAGUUUACAAUCCAAAUUAUAGAUUGAAGAGGGACAUAUGUCAUCACUUCGACUCAAUCCUAUCCCCAAUUAAUGAAUUGUUUAUAAAGAGCACAGGAAUAUGAAAUUUUCAAGAGGAAAUUGCAACUCCCAACCAAAAAGAAGAAAUCAUCAGGCACUGAAGUGAAUUUCUGAAA
RNA transcript from Diospyros lotus (date-plum), 3463 nucleotides. It is a transcript of the gene named wall-associated receptor kinase-like 20, with no coding region annotated. The record is from RefSeq and is a predicted model, not a curated record. The transcript has 3 exons. NCBI's taxonomy places the organism in Eukaryota, Viridiplantae, Streptophyta, Magnoliopsida, Ericales, Ebenaceae.